This 257-nucleotide long non-coding RNA is filed under the name Populus tremula. Its description in RNAcentral is "long non-coding RNA (PTRE_LNC001977)". The record is from RNAcentral. Lineage: Eukaryota; Viridiplantae; Streptophyta; Magnoliopsida; Malpighiales; Salicaceae.
CCAGGCAUUCCCCCAGGCAUACCUCCAGGCAUUCCCCCAGGCAUACCUCCAGGCAUACCUCCAGGCAUUCCCCCAGGCAUACCCCAGGCAUACCCCCAGGCAUUCCCCAGGCAUACCUCCAGGCAUUCCCCCAGGCAUACCUCCAGGCAUUCCCCCAGGCAUACCUCCUGGAAAUCUUCCUGGAAAUCCACUUGGCAUGCCUCCAGGUUUUCUACUGGAAGAUGAUUGCUCUUGCUUCUUGGCCUUCUCAUACUCAG